GUUUCGCGUCUCUCUCUCGAAGACAACCGAACCCUCAAGCUUUCUCUCUCUCACAAGGGCGCGCCACCACCCUCAGCCAGAACCGGCCACCAGGCCAAUACUUGCACCAGUCUCGACCUCGCUGGUGGCAAUAGGUGUCACCGGAACCAUGGUUGGCCACCGCGUCCUCUUUGCGUCUCUCUCUCAAUCGCAACCGCCCAGGAUUGGGUUCCUUCGCCACCACACGACUCGACCGGCCGCCGUUCCCAUCCGGUCAGCCAUGGCAACGCCGACAUCCUCGCCACCAUCCGGCCAGCCAACGCAGGCCGUGACGACCUCACUCUCUCUCCUUCUGCUCGCGUCGGCCUAGGGUGUGGGGUUUGUCUCCAACCGGCCACCGCCUUAUCCAGUCUCGCCGCCGCUGGCGACGGCAGAUGCCACCAGGAUCCAGGCCAGCGUCACUGCACCGCCACCUUCCUUCUCCUCUUUCUAUUCUCGUGCUCUUGGGGUCAUCUCCUUUUCAUUUCACCGGUCACCACAACUCCAAUUGGUGAAAGAUGAUGUUGGGUUUGUUCUAUGGUACUCUGUGUAAGUUUCUGUUUAACUGGGUGCAAUUCCUUCGUUGGUUAUUGGAGAUGAACAGAGGCGUGGAGGUUUAAGCUUCAUUAUCUGGUUUGGCUCCUGGGAUUUUUGGUGUUUGAUGGGUAGACAUAGGCUGUCGCGUUGACAAAGAAUGGUGGAACAAGAAAAGCUGAAGUAAACUUGGAUUUCGGUUUGUUGGGAAGAUGAUGUAUCUGCAGAUGACGGGUUACUGGAAUUUGGGUUGCGCAGGUUUGGGUUAUGCAAAGAGAGUACUGGUCUCUAAUGGUUGGAGGUGGUGAAGCAUGUUCAGUUUGUUGGGAUGAAUGGAAAACAAAAAAACAAACCAUGUACAGAAACAAAUCAUGCAUACUCAAUAUAAUAGCAAGUUCGAUAUGAGCAGUCAAAGCCAGGCAUUACCAAAUCAGAACAGAAGGAGAAACCCCAUUAGGAGUAAAUUGUAAUCGUCUAACAUUCAUAACUUUGUGAGUGAUGAAGUUAAAGAGAACUUACCUUCUACGUUUACACUCUCUUCUCUCAAGUCCUUGUGAUCCUUUUUCUUAUGAUUCAACUCCACUUCUUUUCUUCAGUA
Long non-coding RNA from Vigna radiata var. radiata (mung bean), 1150 nucleotides. RefSeq lists it as uncharacterized. The transcript has 2 exons. The record is from RefSeq and is a predicted model, not a curated record. NCBI's taxonomy places the organism in Eukaryota, Viridiplantae, Streptophyta, Magnoliopsida, Fabales, Fabaceae.